CUCAGUAACACGCGGACAAUCUGCCCUUGGGUGGGGAAUAAUCUCGGGAAACUGAGGCUAAUGCCCCAUAGGCCUGGUAUGCUGGAAAGCUUCGAGGUUCAAAGGUUACGCCCAAGGAUGAGUCUGCGGCCUAUCAGGUAGUAGUGGGUGUAAAGUACCUACUAGCCUUCGACGGGUACGGGCUUUGGGAGAAGUUGCCCGGAGAUGGAUUCUGAGACACGAAUCCAGGCCCUACGGGGCGCAGCAGUUACGAAAACUUGCCAAUGAGGGAAACCUCGAGCAGGGAACUCCAAGUGCAUGCACAUUGUGUAUGCUGUUCCAUUGCCUUAAAAGCAUAGGAAGUAAGAGCUGGGAAAGACGGGUGCCAGCCGCCGCGGUAAUACCCGCAGCUCGAGUGGUGGUCUAUUUUAUUGAGCCUAAAACGUCCGUAGCCGGACCGGUAAAUCCUUGGGGAAAUCGAGCGGCUCAACCGUUCGAAGUCCGAGGAGACUGCCGGCCUUGGGACCGGGAGAAGUCAGAGGUACUUCGGGGGUAGGGGUAAUAUCCUGUAAUCCUCGAAGGACCACCGGUGGCGAAGGCGUCUGACUAGAACGGAUCCGACGGUGAGGGACGAAGCCCUGGGGCGCAAACGGGAUUAGAUACCCCGGUAGUCCAGGGUGUAAACGCUGCAGGCUUGGUGUCGGAGACCCUACGUGGGUGUCCGGUGCCGUAGAGAAGUUGUUAAGCUUGCUGCUUGGGGAGUACGGUCGCAAGACUGAAACUAAAG
This 766-nucleotide ribosomal RNA is filed under the name uncultured archaeon. RNAcentral's name for it is "bacterial SSU rRNA". It matches the Rfam family "Archaeal small subunit ribosomal RNA", at positions 89 to 861 of the family's 1478-position model. The record is from RNAcentral.